RNAcentral lists this ribosomal RNA (487 nucleotides) under uncultured bacterium. Its description in RNAcentral is "bacterial SSU rRNA". It matches the Rfam family "Bacterial small subunit ribosomal RNA", at positions 30 to 489 of the family's 1533-position model. The record is from RNAcentral.
ACUAAACGCUGGCGGCGUGCCUAACACAUGCAAGUCGUACGAGAAAAGUCGGCUUCGGCUGAUGAGUAAAGUGGCGCACGGGUGAGUAACGCGUGGAUAAAUCUGCCCUUGAGUGUGGAAUAACGUACCGAAAGGUGCGCUAAUACCGCAUAAUGCCUGGCAACACAAGUUGUCCGGCCAAAGAAGGCCUCUGUUUACAAGCUUUUGCUCAAGGAUGAGUCCGCGUACCAUUAGCUAGUUGGUGGGGUAACGGCCUACCAAGGCUACGAUGGUUAGCUGGUCUGAGAGGAUGAUCAGCCACACUGGAACUGAGACACGGUCCAGACUCCUACGGGAGGCAGCAGUGAGGAAUAUUGCGCAAUGGGGGCAACCCUGACGCAGCAACGCCGCGUGAGUGAGGAAGGUUUUCGGACUGUAAAGCUCUGUCGAGCGGGAAGAAAUGUACCAUGGCUAAUAUCCAUGAUAUUUGACGGUACCGCUAGAGGAA